AGUGGUUUGAACAUGGAGUCAGGAGCAGAGGAACAUGCGGCAGAGAGCUGGGCAAAGGCUGAGCCCACCAGGCCUGGCAGCCGGGGAAAGAGAGCCCCCUGGGUCUGAAAUAGAGGCUGGAGAGGAGGACUGUGAGUCCAGAGGAGGGAGAGUGAUGGUAUCCCACACACAAGCCAGCGUGUCUAGGACUCCUAUCUGAAGACACUGCAGAGUGAUCAAAGUUAACAUCACUGCAACGGUAAUGGGAUGAUGAAGCCAAGCUGGGAGCAGGGGUGCACUGAGAACAGACGCCGCUUCUGCGGUAUCCCUGCCAGAAAGCCUCAACCUGAACCUAAUCAUGAGGAAACAUCAGGCCAACCCAAACUAAGGGACAACCUACACAUUAAACGUCUUGGAAUCUCCGAAAGUGACAAGGUCAUGAAAAUCAAGGAAAGGCUGAGGAGCUUUCCAGACUGAAGGCAGCAAAAAGACUUGGCAACCGAAAGUAACGGCGGCUUCUGAACCAGAUUCUGUUGAUGCCCACAAG
Molecule: long non-coding RNA, 526 nt
Filed under: Homo sapiens (human)
Lineage: Eukaryota; Metazoa; Chordata; Mammalia; Primates; Hominidae
Description: HSALNT0308994
Source: RNAcentral